Molecule: ribosomal RNA, 624 nt
Filed under: Triticum aestivum (bread wheat)
Lineage: Eukaryota; Viridiplantae; Streptophyta; Magnoliopsida; Poales; Poaceae
Description: partial small subunit ribosomal RNA
Source: RNAcentral
AUGACAAUACAAACACUUGCAACUGCUCCACCGGAGGUGCUGCUCGAGAAAGAGGAGGCCCAUGCCACCAUGGCCCUCAUCGGAGGAGGAGGAGGAGAAGGAGGGGGAGGAGAAGAGGAGGAGAUGAGAGAGAGCGCAGGGGCCAUGCACACACCGCUUUGUCACCGGAGAAGUAGGAGGCUUGCACCCACCGCCACAUCGCCGGAGGAGGGGGCCUGCGAUCUACUACAUUACAUGCCAAAAAGUGGUUGGAAGCACGGGAGUCGUGUGAGAAGUGCACGCAAGAGAGGAACAUGGUCGAUAAACACAAAACCAUGCUCCCGGGACUUGCGCUCUGCAAGUGAUGGCCAAAAACAUGGACGUAGAAGAAACAAUGACCAUUGGACAUCCGAAGAGGUGAAAGCACUAGUUGAUGGCAUAUCUGCAUAUGGGGCUGGACAGUGGGCUAAGUUGAAGAACGAAAGGUUUCCAAUAUCAAUUCGGAUGGCGAAGCAUCUUACGAACAAAUGGAGAAACCUAGUGAAAGCCUUCACGGGAAAUGUGAAAAGAAGGAUCUCGCCUCGUCUAGAUAAGGAUUGCAUCGAAAAGAUCCAAAGGCUAGCAGUUGUUUACCCUCGGAAAUGA